GGGAGUCUUGAUGCCCAACACCUUAUGCCAUCUGGUGUGGAAGUUGUUGACUGAAUGCUCGCUACAUGGAGGAAUCAUUACAAGAGUAAAAGUGCAUAAUUUAUUUAUAAAUAAAAAAAGAAAAAAAAAGAGAAAAUAAUAUUGACCUUGAAAAAGAUGAUAGUGUGAAAGCCGUCGUUGUAAAAAUUCGAGUAAACUGGAAUAUUACAGAUAAAGCCCAUGAGGUAUUAAAGUAAAUAUCUAUAACUCUCGAAAUCCUGCAAGAUAGGAUGAUUUUAAAUCAGUGAUUAGGUCUUAUCUGACCAAUUCUUAGAAACUACUAGCUUUAGCAGUAUUUGGGGGAAUCUAAAGCCUUAGCUUGUGUAUGGUCCAGAUAGCACCGAGCACCCAAGUAUAAAUAAGCCUUACAACUCUCU
This 416-nucleotide long non-coding RNA is filed under the name Phoenix dactylifera (date palm). Its description in RNAcentral is "long non-coding RNA (PDAC_LNC017022)". Lineage: Eukaryota; Viridiplantae; Streptophyta; Magnoliopsida; Arecales; Arecaceae. The record is from RNAcentral.